UAGGAAUCUGCCUAUUAGUGGGGGACAACAUUCCGAAAGGAAUGCUAAUACCGCAUACGUCCUACGGGAGAAAGCAGGGGACCUUCGGGCCUUGCGCUAAUAGAUGAGCCUAAGUCGGAUUAGCUAGUUGGUGGGGUAAAGGCCUACCAAGGCGACGAUCUGUAGCGGGUCUGAGAGGAUGAUCCGCCACACUGGGACUGAGACACGGCCCAGACUCCUACGGGAGGCAGCAGUGGGGAAUAUUGGACAAUGGGGGGAACCCUGAUCCAGCCAUGCCGCGUGUGUGAAGAAGGCCUUAUGGUUGUAAAGCACUUUAAGCGAGGAGGAUUCUACUAGUAUUAAUACUACUGGAUAGUGGACGUUACUCGCAGAAUAAGCACCGGCUAACUCUGUGCCAGCAGCCGCGGUAAUACAGAGGGUGCGAGCGUUAAUCGGAUUUACUGGGCGUAAAGCGUGCGUAGGCGGCCAUUUAAGUCAAAUGUGAAAUCCCCGAGCUUAACUUGGGAAUUGCAUUCGAUACUGGAUGGCUAGAGUAUGGGAGAGGAUGGUAGAAUUCCAGGUGUAGCGGUGAAAUGCGUAGAGAUCUGGAGGAAUACCGAUGGCGAAAGCAGCCAUCUGGCCUAAUACUGACGCUGAGGUACGAAAGCAUGGGGAGCAAACAGGAUUAGAUACCCUGGUAGUCCAUGCCGUAAACGAUGUCUACUAGCCGUUGGGGCCUUUGAGGCUUUAGUGGCCGCAGCUAACGCGAUAGUAGACCGCCUGGGAGUACGGGUCGCAGACUAAAACU
This 787-nucleotide ribosomal RNA is filed under the name Acinetobacter beijerinckii. RNAcentral's name for it is "bacterial SSU rRNA". It matches the Rfam family "Bacterial small subunit ribosomal RNA", at positions 118 to 901 of the family's 1533-position model. Lineage: Bacteria; Pseudomonadati; Pseudomonadota; Gammaproteobacteria; Moraxellales; Moraxellaceae. The record is from RNAcentral.